Molecule: ribosomal RNA, 301 nt
Filed under: uncultured bacterium
Lineage: Bacteria
Description: partial 16S ribosomal RNA
Rfam family: Bacterial small subunit ribosomal RNA
Source: RNAcentral
CAGUCGCCACGGUAAUACGAAGGGGGCUAGCGUUGCUCGGAAUGACUGGGCGUAAAGGGCGCGUAGGCGGUUCGUACAGUUGGAUGUGAAAUUCCUGGGCUUAACCUGGGGGCUGCAUUCAAUACGUGCGGGCUUGAGUGUGGAAGAGGGUUGUGGAAUUCCCAGUGUAGAGGUGAAAUUCGUAGAUAUUGGGAAGAACACCGGUGGCGAAGGCGACAACCUGGUCCAUAACUGACGCUGAGGCGCGAAGGCGUGGGGAGCAAACAGGAUUAGAUACCCCUGUAGUCCCUGUCUCUUAUAC